Molecule: ribosomal RNA, 108 nt
Filed under: uncultured bacterium
Lineage: Bacteria
Description: partial 16S ribosomal RNA
Source: RNAcentral
CCACACCGCCCGUCACAACCAUGGGAGUCGAUUGCUCCAGAAGUGGCUAGCGCCAACCCGUAAGGGAGGCACGGUACCCCGAAAGGAGGUCGAUCGGUAACUGGGGUG